CAAAAUCCAGAUUCCACGUUGUAAAGCCCCCCGUCUCCACCAUAAGAGAGGUUCGGGACCUGAAAACGGCCCCAGGGCAAAAAGUCAUACCUUGAUAAGCAAAUACAAAAUUUUCUGCGUACAUGUUUUAUUGUACAGGCAUCUUCACAAAACAUUGGAAAUAGAAUGAAAUAUGUUUGAUUGGGUAAAACCAAAAGACACAUUUGUUAUCUAGGGAUAAUGGCUAUCAGACUAACCCUGCAAGUCCCAUCAGGCAAUCAAUAUAUAUUUCUACUUUUCCUUCCUUUCAUAUUUUCAGUUUAUAGUAGCAAUAAAUACAUUGAUGCGUGAAAUUUACUGGAGUAUAAUGACCAGCUGGCAUUUGUGACCAGCAGCUGAACUGUGCAACCUCAUCCCUUCCCCACUGUCAUCAACUCAGAUAAUGUUGCGAGGCUCGGUUACUAGUCCCCAAAUGACAUUUAAUUAUCGUUCUAAUUGGAGGUCUCAUGGCUAUUCUUCUAAAUUGAGGUACGCUCAGUGAAGUCUUUGUAAAAUGAUUCGAAAUCCACUAAGCAGUUGAAGAAUAUUGUAUUCAUCCUUUUGAUUUAGCUCAGAAAUUGCUUAGCUUACAUCUCUCUUUCCCAACACUUUUCCUUCAAAAUUAGGAAAUAACUGAACUAUGUUCUUCACUGCAGAACCCAAACUGCAUCAGAAUACAAAAUCUUCUAAAAGGUAUUUUCUACAGAGAUAAUCUAGUGCACACCCAGCAUAGGCACGACGGAUGUUGCUAUUUGUUCUGAAUCCUGUCUUGGAUGCUGUCAAGGCACGAGAGUGAAGAGUCUGACAUAUGGCUAUGAAGCACAUCAAAAGAAUUGUUGGAUGUUAUGUAUUUAUUAUUGCUAAUCAGAUUAUAGCUUACUUUCUUUUCUAUUAUUCAUUUUUUCCAUUCAUUCUUUUUUAUUUUUCCCAAAACUCCUAGUACAUAGUUGCAUAUCCUAGUUGUAAGUUCUUCUAGUUCUUCCAUGUGGGACACCACCACAGCAUGGAUUGAUGAGCAGUGUGUAGGUCUGCACCCAGGAUCCGAACCAGCGAACCCCGGGCUGCCAAAGCAGAGUGCACGAACCUAACCACCAUGCCACCAGGCUGGCGCUCAUUCAUUCUUUUAAAUAACUACUUCUUAAGGGUCGUGAUGAUCAUUUUUUUCUCUAAUAGAAUUGUUCUUCUGUGAUUGUUCUGUGUUAUUCACAUUUUGUGCUCUUUUAAAUGAAAGUUUAUAAUAUAAAAAUUGACCACCAAGGGUCUUAUUUAUCAUUUCACAUUUCAGCUUCAGAAACACCAAAUUAUUUAUAUAGAAUGAUACAUUUUCAACUAUAUUUUUUUCUCUAUAAGCUCCAUGAAAAAAAAAAAGACAUUAUCUAUCUUUUUACCUAUUAAAUCCUUACCGUCUAACACAGGUCUGGCACUUAGUAAUCACUCGAAUACUUGCUGAAUGACAUUUGGCUGAAUGCAUACAGAUUUCAUAUUUUAUGACUAUAUUGGCCUGUUAUAUAUUUGUUUAUGGUGUCAUAUCAGUCAGAAUAAUCAGUGUCAGUUUUUAAAUCAUUUCUUAUUUAUAUAUUAUAUUUGUUCUAGUGUAUAUGGAUUUUAAGAUAAGUGAAGGCCAAUGUAGGAAAUAAAAUGAUUCUACACAAAAUAUCGUGAAAUAAAAAGAACCUGGUUUCCUGGGUGGGGGAUCCACACUUCAAAGAAUGGGCCUUCACAUUAAAUAAGAAUAUUUUGUAUCUGCCGACUACCUUUUACCUUAUUCUUUCCAAAACAUUCAAAGAAUUUUUUCACCACUUACUCUGAUGAUGGGCAAGUCUCGGUUUUCUCAACUUGUAAAGUGGGGCUAAUAGUUGUAUCUGUUCUACGGGGUUGUUGAAAAGAUAAAGUGAAAUCAGCCAUCCGGUUCUUUCCUCCUGGGCCAGGAGCACUUAAGAACAGAGGCAAGGCAGAGCCCUAAAAUUACAUUUUCAGUAUUUGUGCCAGGAAUUCUUCUGGAGACUUUACCUUCAAUGACACGUUCAUUUUCUUUUCUGGAACAACACAAAGAAAUUCACUCUUGCUUUCAUUUAAGAAAUCUCCAGCUAUCAUAAUCCUCGCAGGUGUUCUUAGAUCUAGGAACCUGAAUAUCUUUCAUACAACACGGUCUCUACAAAUUACUCUCGAAUUUGUCAGGACUGCAGAAAGAAUUAAUAUAAACUUUAACAACCUAGUUUUAACCCUAAAUGGAGCAUCUGCAAUUAUGACAACAUGUAUUUGACUAUGUUUUUCUGAUCAUGAAAAACUUCAGAUUCUGCCAAUGGUUUCUGGAUAAAUACUGAAUCCAUUUGUAGACAUUCAUAAAAGUUCUUUACAGAGUUUUGCAUCCAUCUUUAUUUUUUACAUAAUGAAUGUUUCUGAUUCAUUAUGGCAAAAAUCUGAAUGAGCCCUUUUAUGAUAAGAAAAACUCUUCAAAGUCUAUUUUAUUCUGUCUUGCUUAGAUCACAUCUGUAUUAACUCAUAAAGAUCACGAGAGAAAGAUUCAAGAUGGUGCAG
This 2556-nucleotide long non-coding RNA is filed under the name Equus caballus (horse). Its description in RNAcentral is "lncRNA (ENSECAG00000049197.1)". Lineage: Eukaryota; Metazoa; Chordata; Mammalia; Perissodactyla; Equidae. The record is from RNAcentral.